Molecule: ribosomal RNA, 440 nt
Filed under: uncultured bacterium
Lineage: Bacteria
Description: partial 16S ribosomal RNA
Rfam family: Bacterial small subunit ribosomal RNA
Source: RNAcentral
CCUACGGGUGGCAGCAGUGGGGAAUAUUGCACAAUGGGGGAAACCCUGAUGCAGCGACGCCGCGUGAGCGAAGAAGUAAUUCGUUACGUAAAGCUCUAUCAGCAGGGAAGAAAAUGACGGUACCUGAGUAAGAAGCCCCGGCUAACUACGUGCCAGCAGCCGCGGUAAUACGUAGGGGGCAAGCGUUAUCCGGAUUUACUGGGUGUAAAGGGAGCGUAGACGGUGCGCCAAGUCUGGAGUGAAAUGCCGCGGCUUAACUGCGGAACUGCUUUGGAAACUGGCGAACGAGAGUGCGGGAGGGGUAAGCGGAAUUCCUGGGGUAGCGGUGAAAGGCGUAGAUAUUAGGAGGAACACCGGUGGCGAAGGCGGCUUAUUGGACCGUAACUGACGUUGAGGCUCGAAAGCGUGGGGAGCAAACAGGAUUAGAUACCCGAGUAGUC